This 224-nucleotide ribosomal RNA is filed under the name uncultured bacterium. Its description in RNAcentral is "partial 16S ribosomal RNA". It matches the Rfam family "Bacterial small subunit ribosomal RNA", at positions 116 to 334 of the family's 1533-position model. The record is from RNAcentral.
CGUAGGUAACCUGCCUGGUAGCGGGGGAUAACUAUUGGAAACGAUAGCUAAUACCGCAUGAUAUUAAUUAUUGCAUGAUAAUUAAUUUGAAAGGUGCAGUUGCACCACUACCAGAUGGACCUGCGUUGUAUUAGCUAGUAGGUGAGGUAACGGCUCACCUAGGCGACGAUACAUAGCCGACCUGAGAGGGUGAUCGGCCACACUGGGACUGAGACACGGCCCAG